AACGAACGCUGGCGGCAUGCCUAACACAUGCAAGUCGAACGAGACCUUCGGGUCUAGUGGCGCACGGGUGCGUAACGCGUGGGAACCUGCCCUUAGGUUCGGAAUAACUCCCCGAAAGGGGUGCUAAUACCGGAUAAUGUCUUCGGACCAAAGAUUUAUCGCCUUUGGAUGGGCCCGCGUUGGAUUAGCUAGUUGGUAGGGUAAAAGCCUACCAAGGCGACGAUCCAUAGCUGGUCUGAGAGGAUGAUCAGCCACACUGGGACUGAGACACGGCCCAGACUCCUACGGGAGGCAGCAGUGGGGAAUAUUGGACAAUGGGCGAAAGCCUGAUCCGGCAAUGCCGCGUGAGUGAUGAAGGCCUUAGGGUUGUAAAGCUCUUUUACCCGGGAUGAUAAUGACAGCACCGGGAGAAUAAGCUCCGGCUAACUCCGUG
This 433-nucleotide ribosomal RNA is filed under the name uncultured bacterium. RNAcentral's name for it is "partial 16S ribosomal RNA". It matches the Rfam family "Bacterial small subunit ribosomal RNA", at positions 29 to 507 of the family's 1533-position model. The record is from RNAcentral.